UAAUACGAGAGGCCCAAACGUUAUUCGGAUUUACUGGGCUUAAAGAGUUCGUAGGCGGCGCAGAAAGUAGGGUGUGAAAGCCCUCGGCUCAACCGAGGAAUUGCGCUCUAAACUACUGUGCUCGAGGAACCUAGAGGUGAGCAGAACUGAUGGUGGAGCGGUGAAAUGCGUUGAUAUCAUCAGGAAUACCGGAGGCGAAGGCGGCUCACUGGGGGUUAUCUGACGCUGAGGAACGAAAGCCAGGGGAGCGAACGGGAUUAGAUACCCCGGUAGUCCUGGCCGUAAACGAUGAGCACUGGGCCGGAGGGCUGCACAGCCUUCCGGCCGUAGCGAAAGUGUUAAGUGCUCCGCCUGGGGAGUAUGGUCGCAAGGCUG
Molecule: ribosomal RNA, 375 nt
Filed under: uncultured bacterium
Lineage: Bacteria
Description: bacterial SSU rRNA
Rfam family: Bacterial small subunit ribosomal RNA
Source: RNAcentral